This 1167-nucleotide ribosomal RNA is filed under the name Triticum aestivum (bread wheat). RNAcentral describes it as "partial small subunit ribosomal RNA". The record is from RNAcentral. Lineage: Eukaryota; Viridiplantae; Streptophyta; Magnoliopsida; Poales; Poaceae.
AUGGCCCUGGCGGCGACCACAAAAAAGAAGAACAAAGCAAUGGCCCCGGCGGCGCAGGGGGAGUGGUUCAUCAUGUACGGCAUCCCCAAGGUGUCGGGUGAGAUGAGCAAGGAAUUCCCCAAUGCGGCCUUCACCUUCAACGAGGUUCCGCUCCUUUCCCACCUAACCGUCCCGGGUAACGUCGCUACCCCCGCCGGAAGCGUCGACUACCCGUACAUCGAAGCUACCGACGACUGCGGCCUCCUGCUGCUCUGCGGUUACACCUUUGUCGGGCUCACCUACUACAUCUGCGACCCGUAUUUCCGUAGGACGCUGGGCAUCCUCCCCCCCGACGGCGGUUUCAACAGCCGCCACUCCGUCGGCCUCAUCCGCAAUCGCCGCGGCAGUGGGAUCAUGGUGGCCAUGCUCAACACGGGGCUCUUCAGUACACAGGCCCGCAUCAUACUCUCCUGCACGAUUGACCUGUGCGAGUGGGUCAACAAGGAGGCCGACUGCGGCCGCAUCAGGGAGACAAAACCGUGCUGCUGGGAUGGCGUCCUCUCCCACGAGGGAUUCCUGUGGUGGUUCGACCUCUCUUCUUGUAUACUUGCCUGCAACCCCUUCCUGGAUAGACCGACGUUUUACCAAAUCAUGUUCCCGCAUGUCUCUGACCGGCUGCGCGCAGCGUGGUUCCCAGUUCAAGGUGACAAAUACCGCUGCUUAAAGAUCGUCCCCACGGUGGCGCUCGUCCACCCAAGGAAUGCCUACAAGGUUUACUUCUUCCUGGGCCAGCACAUCUUCUGUGUCAACCUGAAGAAAAAGAAACUGAUGCAGUGUCUGGAGUUGGACAAUCAGGAGCUGCCGUCACUCUCCUCCCUCGUGGUCCAUUCCUGGAAUUUGCCGGCAGGGACCACAAAAAUCCAUUCGUCUGGGCCUGAUGAGUCUCACGUCCCUGGGGUUCAUUUCCUGGUUCACUAUAACUCGGUGGAUGGUUUUCUUGAGAAAGCAGUAGCUGUCAUGAGCAGGUCGCGUCCUGAAUUGUUUGGCAUGGGUCUGGAUGAACUUGAAGAAGACGAAGAUCACUCUCUGACCAUGGAGGAAUCUGAUGACGGAGAUGACUCUGAGAUGGAGCAACUUGAAGAGGGCGGAAAUGACUGCGAGAUGACUGAGGAAUCUGAAGAGGACUGA